AGCCUGAACGCUGGCGGCGUGGCUAAGACAUGCAAGUCGUACGGGUGUAGCAAUACACCAGUGGCGAACGGGUGAGUAAUGUAUCGCUAAUGUACCCCGGAUUCUGGGAUAGCUGCCCGAAAGGGCAGGUAAUACCAGAUGAUAUACCCUUGUCGCAUGGCGAGGGUCUCAAAGGAGCAAUCCGCUCUGGGAGCAGGCGAUAUCGUAUCAGCUAGUUGGUGAGGUAACGGCUCACCAAGGCGACGACGCGUAGCCGGACUGAGAGGUUGGCCGGCCACAUUGGGACUGAGACACUGCCCAGACUCCUACGGGGGGCUGCAGUAACGAAUCUUCCGCAAUGCACGAAAGUGUGACGGAGCGACGCCGCGUGUGGGACGAAGCCCCUCGGGGUGUAACCACUGUCGAGGGAUAGAAGUUCUGAUCAUCCCAGAGGAAGGCACGGCUAACUCUGCGCCAGCACGGCCGCGGUAA
RNAcentral lists this ribosomal RNA (471 nucleotides) under uncultured bacterium. Its description in RNAcentral is "SSU rRNA". It matches the Rfam family "Bacterial small subunit ribosomal RNA", at positions 26 to 523 of the family's 1533-position model. The record is from RNAcentral.